RNAcentral lists this ribosomal RNA (516 nucleotides) under uncultured bacterium. Its description in RNAcentral is "bacterial SSU rRNA". It matches the Rfam family "Bacterial small subunit ribosomal RNA", at positions 8 to 518 of the family's 1533-position model. The record is from RNAcentral.
AGAGUUGAUCCUGGCUCAGGAUGAACGCUAGCGGCAGGCUUAACACAUGCAAGUCGAGGGGCAGCGGGAUGUAGCAAUACAUUGCCGGCGACCGGCGGAUGGGUGCGUAACGCGUAUGCAACCUACCUUAUACAGGGGAAUAACCUUUCGAAAGGGAGACUAACACCCCAUAGUAUUGAUUUAAGGCAUCUUAGAUUAAUUAAAUAUUUAUAGGUAUAAGAUGGGCAUGCGUAUGAUUAGCUAGUUGGUAAGGUAACGGCUUACCAAGGCGACGAUCAUUAGGGGUUCUGAGAGGAAGGUCCCCCACACUGGUACUGAGACACGGACCAGACUCCUACGGGAGGCAGCAGUGAGGAAUAUUGGUCAAUGGGCGCAAGCCUGAACCAGCCAUGCCGCGUGCAGGAAGACGGCCUUAUGGGUUGUAAACUGCUUUUACAUAAGACUAACCGUAUAUUUGCGAAUAUACCUGAAUGUAUUAUGAGAAUAAGGAUCGGCUAACUCCGUGCCAGCCGCCGC